UAUGAAUUGCAAUUGGAUAAUUAGAUUAUAGUUCACCCAAUUUUUUUCAGGCCGUGAUUCAGGAUACUGCGGGAGUAAGACUGCCGAUAUCGUUUGUUAUCCCCGUUGCAUGGCUACACGUAAAUCGGAUGUUUGAAAGAUUAUCAAUAACGACGAUUUAAUUCAAGGAUUUCCAUCAACCACCCUCCGCCGGAUUAGACAAGUUUUGUUGUGUAUUCGCAAAAUAAUCGACAUAAAAGGGUUUUGCGUUAUUUCGCCGCGUGUUUAAACUGGCCCCUUACGUCGAAGCUAGUAUGAUUGUAUUACGACUUUGACAUCUGUUUUUUUUUAUAUAAUCUAUUAUAACAUAUAAAAUAUACAGCAUGACUAUUUAAACAAAAAUAAAGCAGUGUACAUUUGUUCAUUAAUAGUUUUGAUGUUUACGUUGUUUAUAAUCAUUGCAAAACAUGCAGGAUGAAUAAACUCAAUCAUUCGGAGGAUGAAACCCAACGGUUUCCUUUUUUAAACAUUCCAAUGAUGUAUUUUGGGGGGUUUUUGUAUGCCCCAAAUUUAUUUUUAUUUACUUUGAAUAUUUCUAACGUUGAAAGGAGAGCAUUUCCGUUUAAAUACGUCUAUAAAUUUGUAAGAUUAUUCAUUAGGUUUGCAAGGAAAAUUAUUUGAUACUGUAAUGGCCGACAAAUCGGAACAUGCAGCUUGAAGAAAUUUCUCAACUUAUUAUACCUCGAAACGUUAUUUCAAAUCAGGCACCAAACAAUGAAGGGAAAUGGAAAUAUUCGGCGGAUCCAAAUGUUAAAAUAUUCUUAUGAUAAAAAUUGGUAUUUAUGGCAAACAGAUUAAUCAUUUUUAUCUCUUAAAGAUA
Long non-coding RNA from Magallana angulata, 859 nucleotides. RefSeq lists it as uncharacterized. Lineage: Eukaryota; Metazoa; Mollusca; Bivalvia; Ostreida; Ostreidae. The record is from RefSeq and is a predicted model, not a curated record. The transcript is spliced from 3 exons.